This 573-nucleotide ribosomal RNA is filed under the name uncultured bacterium. RNAcentral describes it as "partial 16S ribosomal RNA". It matches the Rfam family "Bacterial small subunit ribosomal RNA", at positions 355 to 914 of the family's 1533-position model. The record is from RNAcentral.
UGGGGAAUUUUGGACAAUGGGCGCAAGCCUGAUCCAGCCAUGCCGCGUGCGGGAAGAAGGCCUUCGGGUUGUAAACCGCUUUUGUCAGGGAAGAAAUCUUCUGAGUUAAUACCUCGGGGAGGAUGACGGUACCUGAAGAAUAAGCACCGGCUAACUACGUGCCAGCAGCCGCGGUAAUACGUAGGGUGCAAGCGUUAAUCGGAAUUACUGGGCGUAAAGCGUGCGCAGGCGGUUUUGUAAGACAGAGGUGAAAUCCCCGGGCUCAACCUGGGAACUGCCUUUGUGACUGCAAGGCUUGAGUGCGGCAGAGGGGGGAUGGAAUUCCGCGUGUAGCAGUGAAAUGCGUAGAUAUGCGGAGGAACACCGAUGGCGAAGGCAAUCCCCUGGGCCUGCACUGACGCUCAUGCACGAAAGCGUGGGGAGCAAAACAGGAUUAGAUACCCCUGGGUAGUCCACGCCCUAAAACGAUGUCAAACUGGUUGUUGGGAAGGUUCCUUCUCAGUAACGUAGCUAACGCGUGAAGUUGACCGCCUGGGGAGUACGGCCGCAAGGUUGAAACUUAAAUGAAUUGAC